CUGGUUCAGCAAAAUGCUGGGCUUUAAUGGAUACCAGACAUUUUGAGCCCACCCAGAGUACGCAGUGCCAGAGUCCUUGUUUUAACACGCUCAGGCUUCAUUCUUCUGUUCUGCUAAAGAAGUUGAAUGUUUCCUUCUGAAAAGACAACACCUGCUUGGAUGGGCGGAUGCCCAACUCAUCGCAGGAAGUGAAGAAGUCAGGAACGAGCUCUGUGCCAGGAAUGGAAGACAAAACUUUGGGCAUUAUCCAUAGGGUGAUGCAGCUGAUCAGUGAUCUCUUCUGCAGGAUUUUCUUCCCUGACUUUGAGGCAAUUCAUCUGUCCUAAGAAGGUACCUGAAGAUAAUGAAGAGGCACAUAAUUUAGUAAUCUUGGCCAUCUUUUACUUGGAAGAUUAAUUUUUGUCCUUUAAGUGUCAAGGCUGGUUAAACCGAGUCAGCAGCAACACAAAGCAACAGCCAGAAUUGCAGACAGGAACUUGUGCUGAGGCGAACUGCACAAAAUAAAUGAGUCAUGGAGUCAUUUCACUAUCUGCAAAAUGAUAGACCAGUGAUGAUUAAAACAGAAAUACUCCCUGAUUUGUCUAGUCGAAGUUGGGAGCUCCGAGUUUCUCCUUUCAUUUUCUUUCCUCUGCCUACCUUUUCCACAGAAAAUUAUGUCCUUGCAUCUGUCCUGUAACUCCCCACUUCUCAUCUGCUCUGCAAAUGUUUUACUGAGAGUUGGAAACUUGUUUGCUCUCUACAGCACAGCAGGAGAGCUUGAAUGGGUUUUAUGUACGUUGCCUCUUAGGAGCAGUAAUGUAUCCAGAGGUGGAAGGGGUGUAAAUGAGCUUUUUACUGCACUUACUAAGUUAAAAAGCUAGAACUCUGAUCGUGAACUACAGUCUUUUGUGAUUGUGAUCUCUCCUCGCAGUUUCCCCAUAUUUGUGACUUGCAGCUUCUAUGGGGUUUCUGUAAUAGCACGGGAAGAGCUGGAGGAGAUGAGAGUAAUGAACAAUCAAGCAUUAUUCAUCCCAAAAUGAUAGAAUGAUAGAAUCAUUAAUUGUUUGGGCUGGAAGGGACCUUAAAGCCCAUCCAGUUCCACCCCCCCUUGCCAUGGGCAGGGACACCUCCCACUGGAUCGGGAGCUCCAAGCCCCAUCCAACCUGGCCUUGAACACCUCCAGGGAUGGGGCAGCCACCACUGCUCUGGGCACCCUGGGCCAGGGCCUCCCCAUCCUCACAAUAAAAAAUAUCUUCCUAAUAUCUAAUCUAAAUUUCCCCUCUUUCAGAUUAAAACAAUUCUCCGUCAUUUUAUCCCUACACUCCCUGAUAAAGAGCCCCUCUCCAUCUGUAGACCCCUCUUCCUGCAGACUCUCUUUAAGUACUGGAAAAGCUUGAACAUGAUUUAAGCUUCCAGACAAUGCUAAUCGCUAAAAAUAGUCCUUCAUCUUCACUAUCAUCACUUUCUCUCCUAAAUUUGUCUGUACCUUUACAGCAUGUCGCUGUCUGUUUGUAGCUGGAUUCAACGUGUGCGUCAAAUGACGAGGUUAACUCUCACAGUAAAAAAACAGCUCCUUACCCAGGUGAUCGGUUAUGCAAAAUAAAAACAUGUAUAUAUUUUAGGAAGUAAGUGAAAAAUAAGAAACACUACCAGGAUCAAACCAUAUCUUUAUUUCUGUAAGAGUAUAUUUAGGCAGGGUGGCUGUGUGGAACUGAACAAAGAACUGAUGCAUGGAAACGCAGAAUUUAUGGGGUAGGAAACUGAUUUGAAGUCUAACAUUUCUUCCCUCCCAUUGAUCACUCCUCUCAAAUCACUCUGGAUUCACUGUUUGCGUUCAUGUCACGUGAAAUAUCAGAAAAAACCCCUCUGUGUAUCAUUUAAAAAACGAUAAAAAGUGACUAUAUAUCCACUCAAAACACUCAGAUGUAUCUGGCAUAGGUUUAUUGUUCCUAUUAUUCUUUACAUGGUACACGAUAUGCAUCUAAGACCCCUCGAAACACUUCACAGCUGGAUUAAACCUGUCUUCUGUGAGAUUUUCCUUUUCUAUUAGUAAGUGAAGACAAGGCUCCAGCCUAAUCCUAUUUCAUUGUCAUCAGCUACUCCACACUUGCACUCACUCUCAUAAUUUGUGUGUGUAUAUGUGCGUGUGUGGCAUAAAUUUGCAAAUGGUAACAGAUUCACGACACGCAAAAGCCGACGCUGAGCCAACUCUCGACUGGAAAUAUCAUGAAACCCAUAGCAUUUAACGGGGUGAAUUUUUAUUUCCAGGAGUUUGGUCAGCCUUGGAUAAACAGCUCUGUUAUCCAAACAAGGACAGUCGGAGGUGUUAGUGGCUUACUUUAUUGGCAUAUUGAGUGCCCACCAGCACCUCUCUUGCUCUUCGGACCUCACAGCUGCACUAAUGCUUUGUGAACGGGAGGUCCUGGAGGUCUUGCUCGGGCUUGCAGGGAGCCGAGCAGCGUGGAAUACCUUCCAGUAACCAUUUCUGGAGCUUCCUUCUCAUUUUGAGAUCAGCUUUCUUGAACCCUGGGUGAAGGAUGCUUGUGAAUGUUGGGAGGGAGCAGCGUAGCUUUCGCUGUUGCUGGAUGCUCGACAUUUGCACAGCAAAACCUCACACACCUCAGGAAGGAGCAUCUCAAUAUUGAGGCUUCUAUUUCAAUUUUUCACUAAAUCUUGAGU
Cuculus canorus (common cuckoo) is the source of this 2658-nucleotide long non-coding RNA. RefSeq lists it as uncharacterized. The record is from RefSeq and is a predicted model, not a curated record. NCBI's taxonomy places the organism in Eukaryota, Metazoa, Chordata, Aves, Cuculiformes, Cuculidae. The transcript is spliced from 3 exons.